This 681-nucleotide ribosomal RNA is filed under the name Triticum aestivum (bread wheat). RNAcentral's name for it is "partial small subunit ribosomal RNA". The record is from RNAcentral. Lineage: Eukaryota; Viridiplantae; Streptophyta; Magnoliopsida; Poales; Poaceae.
CUCCCUAAAAGCAAGGGGGGUAUGGGAUUCAGGGAUAUGUGUGCUUUUAAUCAAGCGUUAUUGGCAAAACAAGCGUGGCGAUUGAUUGAUUCCCUUGACAGUUUAUGUACCCGUUUGUUGAAGGCAAAAUAUUUUCCACACGGCAGUAUCUUGGAUACGGUUUUCACUGGAAAUUCAUCGGCCGUAUGGAAAGGAAUAGCUCAUGGUUUGGAUCUCGUUAAGAAAGGAAUAAUACGGAGGAUUGGUGAUGGUGCAUCGGUUAGAACAUGGAGAGAUCCUUGGAUUCCUCGACGAUACGAUUUUCGACCAAUUACACCUAAAAGGAACUGCCGGUUUAACCGUGUCUCUGAUUUCUUAGAUAAUAAUGCUGCUUGGAUCAGAGACCGUGUCGAGAAGCAUUUUUGGCCAAUGGAUGUUGCUGAGAUUCUUAAGAUACAUACGUCUCCUAGGAACCGGCAGGACUUCAUCGGCUGGUUUCUGGAGCCGCAUGGGAAUUUUACUGUCAAAAGUGCCUACAGGUUGGCGACAGAAACACAUGUGAGAUGUAUUCAGGGGGCGCUUGUAGUACUAGACUGGACGGCGGUGGAUCAAUUUGGAAUUAGAUUUGGAAAUCUAAUGUUCCACUCAAGAUGCGUAUUAUGGCAUGGAAGACGGCGACGGGUGCGUUGGCAACUAACCUAG